This is a non-coding RNA of Triticum urartu, 135 nucleotides long. The record is from Rfam. Lineage: Eukaryota; Viridiplantae; Streptophyta; Magnoliopsida; Poales; Poaceae.
CUUGUACUCCCUCCGUUUGGAAAUACUUGUCAUCAAAAUGGAUAAAAGAGGAUGUAUCUAGACGUAUUUUAGUUCUAGAUACCUCUCUUUUUAUCCAUUUUGAUGGCAAGUAUUUUUGAACGGAGGGAGUAGUAC